Long non-coding RNA from Dama dama (fallow deer), 924 nucleotides. RefSeq lists it as uncharacterized. The transcript has 6 exons. NCBI's taxonomy places the organism in Eukaryota, Metazoa, Chordata, Mammalia, Artiodactyla, Cervidae. The record is from RefSeq and is a predicted model, not a curated record.
CUUGUUUGGGCUGCUCAGUGCCGAACGCUGGGGUGACAGGUUCUCCUGCCAUGGUGAAUCCUGGCAAGAUUUGCCUGGCUCUCUGACAUUCUGUAGCCCCAACAUUUGUGGCAGGAUGCCUGAAAGAAGUUUCAUCCUCAGGUGGUCUCUCCUGUCAACCUACACACCUUGGAGAGCCUUCCCCAGGGUAUGAUGGUCGCGAGUCUGGGACACAUUCAUCAGAAGGAGGCCAGGCUGCGCAGGUGCUCUAAGGGCGUCUGAUACACCAUCACUCCCUAGGAAACCAAUGGGCAUGGAGGAAGCUGAGCUCUGGGAUCAAUUACGCUGGUGAAACUACAAAGUCUUCUCAUCUUCAAAGGGAAUUUAUUAAGCCCCACAAUGCCAUCAGCACUGGGCCAGGUUUUCGUACUGGCCCAUUAGGUGGACACAGGCCUCUGCCCCCAGGAGCGUGCCGAAUGAGGUGGAGGAUAGCAGCUGAGACUGUUGACAUUGUCCGAGAUUAUCCUGAAGCAGCUGGUACAAACCCUCCUGCUCUUUGCAACGGUCCUGUUCUCAGCAGAAAUUUGGAGCCUCCUGAGUGACCAGCAUUAAUGCCCCACUUCCCUUCUUGCACAACUCCCAGCUUCUCUACUGCCCAGUGAUGGAAUUAUUGAUUGGUGUUCAUACGCUAAUUACCCGGAAGGUCCUUUAAUAUCAUCACAGAAAUGUCAGGAGAAGUGGAGCACCACUGGCAGAAGAACCUGCCUCCCUGCUCCUUCAAAGGCCACAGACCCAUGAGAACCAUUCACUGUAGCCUGAGCCACAUGCCUGGAGGCCACAGCAGAGCACAGGAAAGCGGGGGGAAGUGGAAACGUGCGAGCAGACGGCUCAAAGCAACGGGCUCACCACCGGAAAAAAAAAAUAAAAAUAAACACGCUCAGAAAU